RNAcentral lists this long non-coding RNA (395 nucleotides) under Equus caballus (horse). RNAcentral's name for it is "lncRNA (ENSECAG00000051039.1)". The record is from RNAcentral. Lineage: Eukaryota; Metazoa; Chordata; Mammalia; Perissodactyla; Equidae.
GCUCAGAGAAGGCCCCUGCCCAGGAAGCGGGAAAGCAGAGCUCCCGCGAGGCCCUCCGGGAGGCGGCAACGCAGGGCUCCCGGGACACCACCCAGGGCCGGGUCACCCUCUUAUGAAGGCAUUUCCGCCUGGGAUUUCUCAGUUACAAACUGCUGCACUGAAUUUCUACUUGCACCUUUGUGUCCACGUUGGAAUAUUUCUAAAGGAGAGCUUCCUAGAAUUGGAAUUGCUAGGUUAAAGAAUGAGCAACUUUACAACUGUUAUAUUGCCAAACUUCCCUACAAGAUGGCCAUACCACUUUAUCUUCUCAUUACAUGCUUUACAGAAUGUUUUAAUAUCUGAGAAGACAAGCCUACUCUCACUGUUCAAUUGGAAGUCUUGGUCCUUUGUUUUUC